Molecule: non-coding RNA, 72 nt
Organism: Phrynosoma platyrhinos (Desert horned lizard)
Lineage: Eukaryota; Metazoa; Chordata; Lepidosauria; Squamata; Phrynosomatidae
Source: the annotation of a GenBank genome assembly
GACAGCGUGGCAGAGUGGUUUGAGUGUUGGACUAAGACUCCGGAGACCAGAGUUUGAUUCUCGGCUCAGCCA